Non-coding RNA from Hemiscyllium ocellatum (epaulette shark), 696 nucleotides. Lineage: Eukaryota; Metazoa; Chordata; Chondrichthyes; Orectolobiformes; Hemiscylliidae. The record is from the annotation of a RefSeq genome assembly.
AUGAUUUCACACAUCCAGCUGAUCUGGCCCCUGGCAUUCUGUGUCGCAGGUAUCAGUGGGGACAUCACCAUGACCCAGUCUCCCCCGGUGCUGUCAGUGGGACUGGGCCAGACCGCAACCAUCACCUGUAAGGCCAGUCAAAGCAUUAGCAGCUACCUUGCUUGGUACCAGCAGCAAGAAGGUCAGAAACCCUCUCUCCUGAUCUACAAUGCAGCAACUCGAUUCACAGGAGUCUCCGAGAGAUUCACCGGCAGUGGAUCAGGGACCAGUUUCACCCUGACAAUCAGCAACGUUCAGAAUGAGGAUGUCGCUGACUAUUACUGUCAGCAGUAUAGCAGCGGGUCUUUUACGUUCGGUAAAGGAACCAAGCUCAGACUGAUCCGUGACAACUCUCAGCCCAAGCUGACCCUGCUGCCCCCCUCCCCUGAGCAGAUUAAUGCCAAGGACACUGCCACCCUGGUGUGCCUUGCCAAUCACUUCUAUCCCGAUGAGCUGGAGGUGCAGUGGAAGAAAGACGGUGCAGUCAUUUCGGACGGGGUUCAGACCAGCAACUACCUGCGAGCUUCGGACAGCACCUACAGUGUCAGCAGCCUGCUGACCCUCUCUGGGUCUGACUGGGAGUCCAACGCUCGCUUCUCCUGUGCCCUCACCCACGUGACCCUCCCCUCUCCCCUCAGCAAGAGCAUCAGGAGAUCA